CCUANGGGGGGCUGCAGUAGGGAAUAUUGCACAAUGGGCGAAAGCCUGAUGCAGCAACGCCGCGUGUGCGAUGAAGGCCUUCGGGUCGUAAAGCACUUUUCUGAGGGAUGAGCAAGGACAGUACCUCAGGAAUAAGUCUCGGCUAACUACGUGCCAGCAGCCGCGGUAAAACGUAGGAGGCAAGCGUUAUCCGGAUUCACUGGGCGUAAAGCGCGUGCAGGCGGUUCGGUAAGUUGGGCGUGAAAUCUCCUGGCUUAACUAGGAGAGGUCGUUCAAUACUACCGGACUUGAGAGUGAUAGAGGAAGAUGGAAUUCCCGGUGUAGUGGUGAAAUGCGUAGAUAUCGGGAGGAACACCAGUGGCGAAAGCGAUCUUCUGGAUCAUUUCUGACGCUCAGACGCGAAAGCUAGGGUAGUAAACGGGAUUAGAUACCCUUNUANUC
This 441-nucleotide ribosomal RNA is filed under the name uncultured bacterium. Its description in RNAcentral is "bacterial SSU rRNA". It matches the Rfam family "Bacterial small subunit ribosomal RNA", at positions 338 to 795 of the family's 1533-position model. The record is from RNAcentral.